GACGAACGCUGGCGGCGUGCUUAACACAUGCAAGUCGAACGAUGAUCCCCCGCUUGCGGGGGUUUUCGGUGGGGAAGGGGUGGGUAAUAGGUGAGUACAUUGCACUUUACUUUGGGAUAGGCCUGGAAAACGGGGAAUAUUACUGAAUACUACUUACUGCCUACGGGUGGGGGGUGGAAAGGGUUUUACUGGUUUUGGGUGGGCUAACGGCCUAACGGCUUGUUGGUGGAGUAAUGGGUCACCAAGGCGACGAGGGGUAGCCGGCCAGAGUGGGUGACCGGCCGCCCUGAGUCCUAGGGGCGGCCGAGGCGCCGACGGGUGGAAGCAGGGGGGAAGAUUGCACAAGGGGCGGAGGCCUGAUGCAGCGACGCCGCGUGUGGGAUGACGGCCUUGGUGUUGUAGACCACUUUCAGCAGAGAAGAAGCCUCAAGUGACGGUACCUGCAGAAGAAGCGCCGGCUAACUACGUG
Molecule: ribosomal RNA, 469 nt
Filed under: uncultured bacterium
Lineage: Bacteria
Description: partial 16S ribosomal RNA
Rfam family: Bacterial small subunit ribosomal RNA
Source: RNAcentral